RNAcentral lists this long non-coding RNA (225 nucleotides) under Homo sapiens (human). RNAcentral describes it as "LHRI_LNC1078.1". The record is from RNAcentral. Lineage: Eukaryota; Metazoa; Chordata; Mammalia; Primates; Hominidae.
GUUCCACAACACUCUACAGUCCCCAAUGUAUGCAUAUCUGAAAAAGAUGUAUGUGAAUCUACAUAAAUUAUAGGUCUCUGAUCCAAACACAGAUGACCUCAUCUGCAACUUAAAAGGGUCCCAGUUCCCUCAUUCUUUGAAUCAUUUCCCUUUUGUCUUGAUUCCUUACCUGAAGUAGAACCACUAACCAACUAAAACUGUUUCAAAUCCCUAAUGAAGUUCACC